Molecule: ribosomal RNA, 1432 nt
Filed under: uncultured organism
Description: 16S ribosomal RNA
Rfam family: Bacterial small subunit ribosomal RNA
Source: RNAcentral
CUUAACACAUGCAAGUCGAGGGGCAGCAUGGUCUUAGCUUGCUAAGGCCGAUGGCGACCGGCGCACGGGUGAGUAACGCGUAUCCAACCUGCCUUACACUCUUGGACAGCCUUCUGAAAGGGAGAUUAAUACAAGAUGUUAUCAUGAGUAAGCAUUUUCGCAUGAUUAAAGGUUUACCGGUGUAAGAUGGGGAUGCGUUCCAUUAGAUAGUAGGCGGGGUAACGGCCCACCUAGUCUUCGAUGGAUAGGGGUUCUGAGAGGAAGGUCCCCCACAUUGGAACUGAGACACGGUCCAAACUCCUACGGGAGGCAGCAGUGAGGAAUAUUGGUCAAUGGACGAGAGUCUGAACCAGCCAAGUAGCGUGAAGGAUGAAGGUUCUAUGGAUUGUAAACUUCUUUUAUACGGGAAUAAACGGAUCCACGUGUGGAUUUUUGCAUGUACCGUAUGAAUAAGGAUCGGCUAACUCCGUGCCAGCAGCCGCGGUAAUACGGAGGAUCCGAGCGUUAUCCGGAUUUAUUGGGUUUAAAGGGAGCGUAGAUGGGUUGUUAAGUCAGUUGUGAAAGUUUGCGGCUCAACCGUAAAAUUGCAAUUGAUACUGGCAGUCUUGAGUACAGUUGAGGUAGGCGGAAUUCGUGGUGUAGCGGUGAAAUGCUUAGAUAUCACGAAGAACUCCGAUUGCGAAGGCAGCUUACUAACCUGUAACUGACAUUGAUGCUCGAAAGUGUGGGUAUCAAACAGGAUUAGAUACCCUGGUAGUCCACACGGUAAACGAUGAAUACUCGCUGUAGGCGAUAUACAGUCUGCGGCCAAGCGAAAGCAUUAAGUAUUCCACCUGGGGAGUACGCCGGCAACGGUGAAACUCAAAGGAAUUGACGGGGGCCCGCACAAGCGGAGGAACAUGUGGUUUAAUUCGAUGAUACGCGAGGAACCUUACCCGGGCUUAAAUUGCAACCGAAUAUGGCGGAAACGCUAUAGCUAGCAAUAGCGGUUGUGAAGGUGCUGCAUGGUUGUCGUCAGCUCGUGCCGUGAGGUGUCGGCUUAAGUGCCAUAACGAGCGCAACCCUUGCCGAUAGUUACUAACAGGUCAUGCUGAGGACUCUGUCGGGACUGCCAUCGUAAGAUGUGAGGAAGGUGGGGAUGACGUCAAAUCAGCACGGCCCUUACGUCCGGGGCUACACACGUGUUACAAUGGGGGGUACAGAGGGCUGCUACCACGCAAGUGGAUGCCAAUCCCAAAAACCUCUCUCAGUUCGGAUUGAAGUCUGCAACCCGACUUCAUGAAGCUGGAUUCGCUAGUAAUCGCGCAUCAGCCACGGCGCGGUGAAUACGUUCCCGGGCCUUGUACACACCGCCCGUCAAGCCAUGGGAGCCGGGGGUACCUGAAGUGCGUAACCGCAAGGAGCGCCCUAGGGUAAAACUGGUGACUGGGGC